AGAGAGAGACAUGCGUGCAUAUCAAUAAGCGGAGGAAAAGAAACUAACAAGGAUUCCCCUAGUAACGGCGAGUGAAGCGGGAAGAGCUCAAAUUUGAAAUCUUAAAGGGUUUCCCUUUACGAAUUGUAGUUUAAAGAAGUGUUUUCUGUUGAGGUUUUGGUAAAAGUUCUUUGGAAUAGGACAUCAUAGAGGGUGAGAAUCCCGUAUUUGACCUUUACUUUCAACUUUGUGAUACACUUUCAAAGAGUCGGAUUGUUUGGGAAUGCAGUCCAAAAUGGGUGGUAAAUUUCAUCUAAAGCUAAAUAUUGGCGAGAGACCGAUAGCGAACAAGUACCGUGAGGGAAAGAUGAAUAGAACUUUGAAAAGAGAGUUAAACAGUACGUGAAAUUGUCAAAAGGGAAGCGUUUGACACCAGUGUUGUUUUUCUGAAAAUCAAUUAAAGAACUGUUUAUGCUAAGCUGUUUAGACUUUAUCAGCUAACUGUUUAGUUUUGAGCUUUUCUUUAAUGCACUUUUCAGUUAACAAGUCAACAUCAAUUUCUUUUGCUGUAAAAAAGCUUGAGGAAGGUGGCUUGAGAUUCGUCUUAAGUGUUUAUAGCCUCUUGCCUAUGCAGUCGGAGAGAUUGAGGUCUGCAGCGUAGAUCCUUCGGGGCUAAAUGCAUUUGUGCUAAGUUAUAGCAUUUUAUAGACAACUUGUUGACUAUGAUUUGUCUUGUAGCUUACUCGCUUAUGUUAUUUUACCUACGCUUAGGAUGUUGAGCGCAUGUCUCUCUCU
RNAcentral lists this ribosomal RNA (774 nucleotides) under uncultured Neocallimastigales. RNAcentral describes it as "partial large subunit ribosomal RNA". It matches the Rfam family "Eukaryotic large subunit ribosomal RNA", at positions 23 to 616 of the family's 3401-position model. The record is from RNAcentral. Lineage: Eukaryota; Fungi; Neocallimastigomycota; Neocallimastigomycetes; Neocallimastigales.